AACCAGCGGAGGGAUCAUUACCGAGUUGCAAAACUCCCAAACCCACCGUCUAUCUAUCUCGAAGAGUGCCUGCCUCGGCGGGCGGCCCCGGGGAGGGGCCGCGGCCGGCGUGUCCAGCGCCGGCGCCCGCCGGAGGAGGCCCCAAAUUCGUACCAUUAGUGUCCCUCUGAGCCCAAGACAAAUCGUCAAAACUUUCAACAACGGAUCUCUUGGUUCUGGCAUCGAUGAAGAACGCAGCGAAAUGCGAUAAGUAAUGUGAAUUGCAGAAUUCAGUGAAUCAUCGAAUCUUUGAACGCACAUUGCGCCCGCCAGUAUUCUGGCGGGCAUGCCUGUUCGAGCGUCAUUUCGACCCUCGGGUCCCCCCCUCCUUCUUUUUGGAAGGGGGAAGGUCCCGGUGUUGGGGUUGUCUGGGGCACUUUUGCCGCAGCCCCCGAAAUCCAGUGGCGGUCUCGACCGAGACCCCGAGCGCAGUAACACUUCUCGCUCGAGGCGUCCGGCGGGCUUCCGGCCGUAAAAUCCGCGGGCUCUCCAGGGCCCCGUAAACAUCAAGGUGACCUCGGAU
Molecule: ribosomal RNA, 562 nt
Filed under: Dictyosporella thailandensis
Lineage: Eukaryota; Fungi; Ascomycota; Sordariomycetes; Junewangiaceae
Description: eukaryotic LSU rRNA
Rfam family: 5.8S ribosomal RNA (bases 190-343)
Source: RNAcentral